GUAUGAACCGGAUAUAGAAGGUCCAUGAAUCUGCGUAUGCGAACUAGUAGCGGUGCGUGGGUAAAAUCACUGGUGAAGCCAGGGGGAAAAAAGCCUUAUUACAACCUAUUUGUUGAGAUAAGUGUUGUUUGCUCUAUAUUAUUAUGUUAGUUAACAUGCCUUGCCACCGUCACAUAUUAGGCCGUCAUUGUAAAUAAUAAUUUGUUCUUUAAAUGGCUUGCCUAGUUAAAUAAAAUGUUAAAUUAAAAAAUGUAAUACAAAUAAACAACGUUACCGGGAGCGCGGCGCAGAGGGAAUGUCAACCUACACAAAGAAGGACGAGAUUGAACUUCAUAGAAUUUCUCCCCUUAAACCAUAUUCGGAAGGGACUAGUAUUGCUAUAGAACGUCGGUUAUGUAAUUAUUACUCCAGCAUGUCUGUUUUUCAAAAAGACGAUUCCGACGGGAUUAGUUUUACCAAACUGCCCGUCAUUCUUUUUUUCCGCAUUCACAAUUGACCAUUAUGACGGAAGCUUGGAGGCUCUUCUAGGUGUGAAGAUAUUUAAUAUGUCUAGGGACAUCCUAAUAUUGGCCUAAUGGCCUUCAGUUCGGAGAAAGUCCAAAUAAUAAUGCAUAUCAAUAAGAACCAUAAACUGUAACCUACGCAGACAUUUAAUUAACUGACAUAUUUGUCAAUGUAUCAAUUUAUUGACACGAUAUCGUCCACUUCAUCUUUUAAAAGAGAAGAAUGGCACUAGGAAGGUUGAUAUAUUACAGAUCAUUCAUCUGUAGGCUAUGUGCAUAGCACUUUGUUUUAAGCAUCAAUUUGUUCUUACCCAAACUGAGUGCAGCACCUGUUCAACUGUAAUAUCUCUCAAAACACGGUGAUGAUGAUUUGCACGGGAUAAGUAUUAUCAGAGGACCUUGCAGUUUGUAAAAAAAAAAAUGUUUUUUUAGGGCUGAGAUUAUAACCUUCCGGCCAAGUAAAAAUUACUGACGUGGCAGAUUCGGACGGGACUAAAAUUACAAAUGUGGUGAUUUAUGCUCGUGCACAUAAUUAUAUUAACUGAGCUCCCCCAGUAAAACUCUUCCAGUUAACACUAUCAAUAUUUCCCUUUACUGUGGGAAUUGUGAUCGAAUCAAUGCAAAAUUAGCCACUUUCAAUGCAACAUACCGAAACAUAACAAGCUAUGCAAGCAAUUUUGUUGUAGGCAGAACGCAUCGGAAUAUGAUUCUAUUGCAUCUAUUUAAAAAAAAAAAAACGGUGUGGCAGAACCAAUCAGAGCUGCAAACGGCCUAUAUGCAAAUAGACCAUUGCCAUAUAUGGAUCUGUGCCAUUUUCUUUGAACUGGACUGUGUAAACAGCAUGAUAGGUCAUGAGUAAAUGUGCUUGUUUUGAGAUCAUCAAACAAACAUGCAUCAAACAACACAAUAUUUUGAGUCACCUCCUUAUCUGAAGGACAAGUGGAUAAACAGGUUCAUAUCAAUCCCUGCAUGUUUUUUUCAAAAGUCUCAUGGAAUGUAGGCCUACGUUGAACACAACACAAUGGCUGCUACUGUAGGCUGAAUGAUAGAACAGCUAUUUCCAUGUUAAAAUGUUAUGGGAUGCAUCUUCAAAAAAUAGUUUGUGGGAGGCCACUCUGGUAGGCUUACAUUAUUAUCAAAUAUCCAUAGUAGCCGACUUGACCACUGUCUGAAACUGUAAUUAAAAGUGGGUACAGCCUCAGUGUUCACAGUAAACGGGCGCUGGAAGUUGCACAGAAUGUUCACAAUGUUCAAGUUUGAGCUCAGCAGACUUGAAAUUUGCUCAGUGCCAGGAAAACUAUUAAGGGAACAUUGCAUUUAUCCCUAAGGCUGUGACAAUAAGAAGACACAGUGGCAGAAUAAAUUCAACCACACCUUUUUUUCAUUACAAAACUGGAGAGCAACAUCUGUCCGGUGGAGUCCACAAAGCAUAUUGCAUGUAACAAACAGUUACAUGACCUACAUCAUGGUCAAUCAAGUUCAUGUUGCCGACACUUAACACUUUUUUCGUUACUACAUGAUUCCACAUAUGUUAUUUCAUUGUUUUGAUGUCUUCACUACUAUUCUACAAUGUAGAAAAUACAAAAAAAUAAAGAAAAACCCUUGAAUGAGUAGGUGUGUCCAAACUUUUGACUGGUACUGUAUGUGAUAAGCAAAAUUGACACAGUUACAAUAGACAUCCACCAAAUUGAUGUUACCUGAAUUUUGUUAGCUCACAAUAAACACAACAGCUCAAUGCUGAGUAAAGAAGGUUAGUACUGUACAGGGAUGGUGAAGAGUAUUUAAACCAUCCUGCAGAAGUAAUUGGCAACCAGAAGGGGGCUCUCGUGUCACACUAGUGGUUGCCAAACACGUCCAUGCUGUGGUGGCCCACCUAAAGCCUUUGAAUAUAUCUUUCUGCGGUUUACUAACUAAACAAAAGCAAUGUUGUUCAGCACAAAUACAACAGUCUCACUCUACUCCACCAACAGGUUAGUGCAGUGUUUCUUCAUCCUGAUCCUGGGGAAUCAAAGGGGUACACUUUGUAUUGUUUCCCCUAGCACUACACACCUGAUUCCACUAAUCAAAGGUUUGAUAAUGAGUUGAUUAAGAAACAUUAGGUUACUAUUUUCACUAUAGUCCUCCUUUGAUUGAUUUGAAAUGUACUGUCUGUUACCAUUUGAGGUAAUGUACACCUUGCGUUCAUAUGGUUACGUGUGUGUGUGUAUAUGUCUAUCAUAACCUGUUGUGGUUGUGUGUGUAGGGCGGAGAGGAAGAGAGCCAGUGUGAAGCAGCAGAGUCUCAGCAGCAACCUUUUCAUCCUGGAAAGAACGGACCAAUCAGGACAGACAUAUUUCAGUCCCGCCCCUCAGGUCCAGGAAGUAUGUCAGGAGGUGGAUGAGUUCAUCUAUGUGGCCAAUGCAGAGACAGGAAGAGGUAACACCAAGACUCCAAAACAUUCCUCAUACUUGCUCCUAUUCCUAGGCCCUUGUUGCCAGGCAGAUAAUCUUGUCAAGCUAACUGACUGCUGCGCUCACAGAAUAUGAGCUAUCGCAACAUCAGGCUGGUUCCACCAGGCUACCUUCCAGGACCAGAUCCAGGGAAAGAUCAGGCUGGUUCCACCAGGCUACCGUCCAGGACCAGAGCCAGUGAAAGGUGGUGAGUGGGAGGCGUCUCAGAUCCAAGCAUUGGUGAACCCUGCCUAGUAUUCGUCCUCCAGAACCCUCCUGGUCCUGACUUUUGUGUCCAGAGAGGAACCAGACCCAAUCAGAACCACUAGUCGCAAUACUGCUAGAUUAAAGACCAGGACCCCCAGUGUGGAUAUUGCACAGAGGCUCUGCCUGUCCCUGCUGCCCAACCCCUGGAUGGUCUGUCUUUCUGUCUAUGUAGUCUGUCUGUCUGUGUCUGUCUGUCUGUCUGCUGGGGUGCUCUGGUCUCAGGCUGUAGCUAGCUGUCAAGGAACUACCUUCAGCACAAAUGCUUCUGAAGGAAUGUUCUACCUCUGAUGUGCCUUGUUUCAAUGAAUCGCAAAAGAAAAAGUCAUUAUUGGAUGAGCGCAGACUGGAAGGAGAGGAGACAAAGAGAGGAAGUCAUUCAAAGUAUUGAGAUCCACCCCUCUUGCUCAGGCAAUGGUACAACAUGCUACUCCAAGUUCUCUGUGGUUAUUUUCCUCUGAGGUCAGCAUUGGCACACUAAACUGAAUUCACAUCUGUCUGAUGGGGGGGAGGACAAUGUUCCUAUUUACACCACAACGGGGCAGGCCUGCUCCGGCUUCUCAGGGCCAGGGGAAGCUGUAGAAUGUAGACUAGUUGCAGCUUGGUUUACUACGCUUUGGGCGUGGGGGUUGCGCUGUGACCCCCCGAAAACAACUAAAAAUGAAAACUCAAACCACAAAUUUCUAAACACAAUCAAGAAUGUACUGUAGCAACCCUGUGUUUAUAAGCACCAAUAUCAACUCUACCACAUGAGCACGCUGGGCUAUGGCCGGAAGGUUGGCGGUUUGAAUACCACCGCGGACAAGCUCACUUUCCCUGCCUGUUAACUGUUGAUAAAGUAUGGAUGUUGUUGUCUGAUACAAUACAUUAGAGCUGGAAUCCUUAAUAGUGAAAGUGCCACAUCCGUUUCGGAUAUUACAACAGCAAAGAAGUUACUGCAAACAACAAACACCCCCCCCCCUUGGACAUUUUUGCAGAAUAUGUGCUGCAGGUAUAGCAUGCUGCUCAACACUCCUCACCUUCAUUUCGUCUACAAACCAAAACAAUAACAAAGGCCCUGGGACAGCCGCGGCACUGUUUCCCCUAAUGUGGGACCGUGACCAAAUAACUAAACCCUGUUCAAUUACAGUACUUGAAAAUUGCACCAGUCUUUUCUAUUACUUGUAAGUUCUCACCGACCAACCAAUGCUUUGGUAGGUGACCGUGAAACAGUAGACGUUCUGCUCUGAACUAUCCUUUUUUAUUUUUUUACUUCACCUUUAUUUAACCAGGUAGGCCAGUUGAAAGAAGUUCUCAUUUACAACUGCGACCUGGCCAAGAUAAAGCAAAGCAGUGUGACAAAAACAACAACACAGAGUUACACAUGGGAUAAACAAACGUACAGUCAAUAACACAAUAGAAAAAUCUGAAUACAGUGUGUGCAAAUUAAAUAAGGAGCUAAGGCAAUAAAUAGGCCAUAGUGGCGAAGUAAUUACAAUUUAGCAAUUAACACUGGAGUGAUAGAUGUGCAGAUGAGGAUGUGCCAUUAGUACUACUGGUGUGCAAAAGAGCAGAAAUACAAAAACAAAUAUGGGGAUGAGGUAGGUAGUUGGUUGGAUGGGCUAUUUACAGAUGGGCUGUGUGCAGCUGCAGUGAUUGGUAAGCUGCUCUGACAGCUGAUGCUUAAAUUUAGUGAGGGCGAUAUGAAUCUCCAGCUUCAGUGAUUUUUGCAAUUCGUUCCAGCCAUUGGCAGCAGAGAACUGGAAGAAAAGGUGGCCAAAGGGGGUGUUGUCUUUGGGAUGACAGUGAAAUAUACCUGCUGGAGCGCGUGCUACGAGUGGGUGUUGUUAUGGUGACAAGUGAGCUGAGAUAAGGCGGAACUUUACCUAGCAAAGACUUAUAGAUGCAGCAAUUUGUUGAAGAGCAUGCAUUUCCUUUUACUAGCAUGUAAGAGCAGUUGGAGGCCACGGAAGGAGUGUUGUAUGGCAUUGAAGCUAGUUUGGAGGUUUGUUAACACAGUGUCCAAAGAAGGGCCAGAUGUAUACAGAAUGGUGUCGUCUGUGUAGAGGUGGAUCAAAGAAUCACCAGCAGCAAGAGCGACAUCAUUGAUGUAUACAGAGAAAAGAGUCGUCCCGGGAAUUGAACCCUGUAGCACCCCUAAACAGACUGCCAGAGGUCCAGACAACAGGCUCUCCGAUUUGACACACUGAACUCUAUCUGAGAAGUAGUUAGUGAACCAGACGAGGCAGUCAUUAGAGAAACCAAGGCUGUUGAGUCUGCCGAUAAGAAUACGGUGAUUGACAGAUUCGAAAGCCUUGACCAGGUCGAUGAAGACGGCUGCACAGUACUGUCUUUUAUUGAUGGCGGUUAUGAUAUAGUUUAGGACCUUGAGCGUGGCUGAGGUGCACCCGUGACCAGCUCGAAAACCGGAUUGCAUAGUGGAGAAGGUACGGUGGGAUUCGAAAUGGUCGGUGAUCUGUUUGUUAACUUGGCUUUCAAAGACUUUAGAAAGGCAGGGCAGGAUGGAUAUAGAUCUGUAACAGUUUGGGUCUAGAGUGUCUCCCCCUUUGAAGAGGGGGAUGACCGCGGCCACAUUCCAAUCUUUAGGAAUCUCAGACGAUACGAAAGAGAGGUUGAAUAGACUAGUAAUAGGUCUUGCAACAAUGGUGGCGGAUAAUUUUAGAAAGAGAGGGUCCAGAUUGUGGAGAGACAGUGGGUUUGGCGACGAAUGUGUAGCGAGGACCAGCCAACGAGAGCAUACAGGUCACAGUGGUGGGUAUAUGGGGCUUUGGUGACAAAACGGAUGGCACUGUGAUAGACUGCAUCCAAUUUGCUGAGUAGAGUGUUGGAGGCUAUUUUGUAAAUGUGUGACGAUGUGCGCAACUGGUUAAAGGUGAGUCAGGUUCAGGAGAGCAGAGAUGGGCGCACUUUAUUCGUGCCCAAGGAAAACAGCGAUAACUCCCAAUGUACACAAACAGUACAAUAAACAAAACACACGGGUCAAACACACACCCGGCGCAAACCAGCCAAAUGCGAACCACACGUAACAAACAAACAAUUCCACACACGGACAUUGGGGGAACAGAGGGUAAUAUACAUUUAGUCGGAUGAGGGGAUGUGAACCAGGUGUGCGGAAAAGCAAGAAAAAACAAAUGGAAAAUGAAAGGUGGAGCGGCGAUGGCUAGAAGACCGGUGACGUCGAACGCCGCCCGAACAAGGAGAGGGACCGACUUCGGUGGAAGUCGUGACAAAAUGUCAUCGCCAAAGUCAAGGAUCGGUAGGAUAGUCAGUUUUACGAGGGUAUGUUUGGCAGCAUGAGUGAAGGAGGCUUUGUUGGGAAGUAGGAAGCCGACUCUAGAUUUAAUUUUGGAUUGGUGAUGCUUAAUAUGAGCCUGGAAGGAGAGUUUACAGUCUAGACAGACACAGGUAUUUAUAGUUGUCCACAUUAGUCAGAACCAUCCAGAGUAGGGAUGCUAGUCGGGUGCGGGCAGCAAUUUGUUGAAGAGCAUGCAUUUCCUUUUACUAGCACGUAAGAGCAGUUGGAGGCCACGGAAGGAGUGUUGUAUGGCAUUGAAGCUAGUUUGGAGGUUUGUUAACACAGUGUCCAAAGAAGGGCCAGAUGUAUACAGAAUGGUGUCGUCUGUGUAGAGGUGGAUCAAAGAAUCACCAGCAGCAAGAGCGACAUCAUUGAUGUAUACAGAGAAAAGAGUCGUCCCGGGAAUUGAACCCUGUAGCACCCCUAAACAGACUGCCAGAGGUCCAGACAACAGGCUCUCCGAUUUGACACACUGAACUCUAUCUGAGAAGUAGUUAGUGAACCAGACGAGGCAGUCAUUAGAGAAACCAAGGCUGUUGAGUCUGCCGAUAAGAAUACGGUGAUUGACAGAUUCGAAAGCCUUGACCAGGUCGAUGAAGACGGCUGCACAGUACUGUCUUUUAUUGAUGGCGGUUAUGAUAUAGUUUAGGACCUUGAGCGUGGCUGAGGUGCACCCGUGACCAGCUCGAAAACCGGAUUGCAUAGCGGAGAAGGUACGGUGGGAUUCGAAAUGGUCGGUGAUCUGUUUGUUAACUUGGCUUUCAAAGACUUUAGAAAGGCAGGGCAGGAUGGAUAUAGAUCUGUAACAGUUUGGGUCUAGAGUGUCUCCCCCUUUGAAGAGGGGGAUGACCGCGGCCACAUUCCAAUCUUUAGGAAUCUCAGACGAUACGAAAGAGAGGUUGAAUAGACUAGUAAUAGGUCUUGCAACAAUGGUGGCGGAUAAUUUUAGAAAGAGAGGGUCCAGAUUGUCUAGCCCAGCUGAUUUGUAGGGAUCCAGAUUUUGCAGCUCUUUCAGAACAUCAGUUGUCUGGAUUUUGGUGAAGGAGAAGCGGAGGGGGGGCUUGGGCCAGUUGCUGCGGGGGGUGCAGAGCUGUUGGCCGGGGUUGGAGUAGCCAGGUGGAAAGCGUGGCCAGCUGUAGAGAAAUGCUUAUUGAAAUUCUCGGAUUUAUCAGUGGUGACAGUGUUUCCUAGCCUCAGUGCAGUGGGCAGCUGGGAGAAGGUGCUCUUAUUCUCCAUGGACUUUACAGUCCUACAAUUUUUUGUAAUUAGUGCUGCAGGAUGCAAAUUUCUGUUUGAAAAAGGUAGCCUUUGCUUUCCUAACUGGCUGUGUAUAUUGGUUCCUGACUUCCCUGAAAAGUUGCAUAUCGCGGGGACUAUUCGAUGCUAGUGCAGUACGCCACAGGGUGUUUUUGUGCUGGUCAAGGGAGUCAAGUCUGGAGUGAACCAAGGGCUAUAUCUGUUCUUAGUUCUACAUUUUUUGAAAGGGGCAUGCUUAUUUAAGAUUGUGAGGAAAGCACUUUUAAAGAACAACCAGGCAUCCUCUACUGGCGGGAUGAGGUCAAUGUCCUUCCAGGAUACCCGGGCCAGGUCGAUUAGAAAGGCCUGUUCGCCUAAGUGUUUUAGGGUGCAUUUUACAGUGAUGAGGGGUGGUCGUUUGACCGCGGACCCAUAGCGGACGCAGGCAAUGAUGAACAGCAGAGGUGUAUUUAGAGGGCAAGUUGGUCAGGAUGAUAUCUAUGAGGGUGCCCAUGUGUACAGAUUUGUGGUUGUACUUGGUAGGUUCCUUGAUAAUUUGUGUGAAAUUGAUGGCAUCUAGCUUAGAUUGUAGGACGGCCGGGGUGUUAAGCAUAUCCCAGUUUAGGUCACUUAACAGUACGAACUCUGCAGAUAGAUGGGGGACAAUCAAUUCACAUAUGGUGUCCAGGGCACAGCUGGGGGCUGAGGGGGCUCUAUAACAAGCAGCAACAGUGAGACUUAUUUCGGGAGAGAUGGAUUUUUAAAAGUAGAAGCUUGAACUGUUUGGGCAUAGAGAUAGUAUAACAGAACUUUGCAGGCUAUCUCUACAGUAGAUUGCAACUCUGCCCACUUUAGCAGUUCUAUCUUGACAGAAAAUGUUGUAAAUGGGGAUGGACAUUUCAAAACUUUUGGUGGCUAUCCUAAGCCAGGAUUCAUACACGGCUAGGACAUCAGGGUUGAUGGAGUGUGCUAAAGCAGUGAAUAAAGCAAACUUAGGGAGGAGGCUUCUGAUGUUAACGUCACAUAUUCACAUCAGAUACAGUAUGUGCAGACAGGAAACGGAGGGCCACGUAUCCCAUUUUCUAUCCAUGCCCAUUGUUAAAAUAAGCAACUGAUCUGUGCUUUACUCAAAGUUGGUCCCUCCCUCACUCUUAUACUGUCAACUGUAAUAGGAUAAUGUGCUUUAAUGCCUGUCUUUUCUUCUAGUCUCCUAGGCAACAAAAUUGAGAAUAUUCUCCCUAACCACCUCUUUUCUGAAAACCCCGCCUCAAAAGGUUCCUGAAUGGUAAUAAUCAUCGUCACGGAAAUAUAUAUUUAGAAUGCAGUCAUGAUUGGUGCCAUUUGGGUGCAUUACGUCCUGUGUGAAUAGUGGAGAGAGAUGGGAGCAGUGUUCUCUUGUCUACAUGGUGUUAUCAGACUGGGCUUAAUGGAGGAAGAGUGAGGGCUUUGCUGUGACACAGCCGCCCCUUUCAUCCAACAGGCUGCUCUAAACAGGAUGUACCUCCCUGCUUCUCCCUCUACUCAGCCACACACCCACCCAGUCAGCUGGCUGUUUUUGGGAUGUGGAUGUUUGUGAUUCUUUGAUGAUUAAGUUAAACCAAACGAACACAAAAUACUACCAUAUUUGCAUUCCAAAUAAUAUAGAACAUUUUACUAAUCGCCCACUCAGUCUUUUCUUUAGUUUCAGUUCAUCUCCAAUUAUAUAUUUACAACCUCUGUAGGAGGUUGAUUUCACACUGGCAAACUCAUUAGUGAUCCCUGAUGUGAAAGCGUGUGUGUGCAAACUCCUCCUGCGUGUGUGUUCCCUUUAGCGUGGGAACCUACCAUCAGAGCAGGUAUGCAGGGAAUAACAAUGACAAAUCCCUACUAUGUAUUACUCGCUGACUGUCUGCCGCGGCCCAGUAGGAGAGGAACGUCUGCUCUGCCUCUACCCACAGAGAGGGAACUGUAGAUGGGGUGGGGCUGCAUGGGGGAUUUAGUUAGACUGCUUUGAUGAAACUAGGGCUGGGCCUGGAGCAGCGUGAGACUGUACACUUGGGGGGUGGAGCUGGAGCAGCGUGAGACUGUACACGUGGGGGGUGGAGCUGGAGCAGCGUGAGACUGUACACUUGGGGGGUGGGGCUCGUUCAAGGGACAUGUUCUGGAGGGGGGAUGGGCUCCAGAUCAUCUUAUUCUGGCGUCCUUCCCAGUGGAAAAGGGCCUCAAGGGUGAGUGACUUCUUGUGGAGUGGAGUGUUUGUGUGUGUGUGAGAGUGUAUACGUGAGUAUGCUGAUAUGCUGAUUCAUUGAUUUAUUAUGUUUCUCUCCAGGGUUUGGUUUGUGUGGCAUCCCAGAGAAUCUUGUCCACUGUUUAUUAAAGACUGGCGUGAUGAGCCUCACAACCGUCAGCAACUAUACAUGAAAUGGUCCCUUCAAACAGACAGCGUGGUGAAGAAGGAGCAACAGCGCCUCUUCAACCUCAGGAGGCUAAAGACAUUUGUAUUGGCCCCUAAGACCCUCACAAACUUCUACAGAUGCACCAUUAAGAGCAUCCUGUCGGGCUGUAUCACAGCCUGGCUCGGCAAUUGCACCGUUCACAACCGCAGGUCUCUCUAUUGUGUGGUGCAGUCAGCCCAACGCAUCACCGGGGGCACACUGCCUGCCCUCCAAGACAUCUACAGCACCCGGUGUCACAGGAAGGUCAAGAAGCUCAUCAAGGACCUCAGCCACCCGAGCCAUGGCCUGUUCAUCUGAAGGUGUAGACAGUACAGGUGCAUCAAAUCUGGGACCAAGAGACUGAGAAACAGCUUCUAUCUCCUGGCCAUUAGACUGUUAAACUGUUACCACUAGCCGGCCUCCUCCCAGUACUCUGCCAUGAACUUAGUCACUGUUACAAGCCAGCUACCACCCGGUACUCUACCCUGCACCUUAGAGACUGAUGCCCUAUGUACUCAGUCAUCGAACACUGGUCACUUUAAUAAUGUUUACAUACUGUUUUACCCACUUUGUAUGUAUAUACUGUAUUCUAGUCAUGGCUCAUCCUAUAAUAACCUAGUUUUUUAUUUUUCUGGAUUGUGUGUGUAUUUGUCUUAUUUUCAUUGCUGGGUGUUACUGCACUGUUGUAGCUAUAAACACAAGCAUUUCGAUGCACCUGCGAUAACAUCUGCAAAUCUGUGUACUUGACCAAUAAACUUUGAUUUGAUUUUACUUGAGUUGAAGUUCCGUGCUAGGCCGGAAUCACCGGGUGGAACAUUUGGGCUGUAUUUGGAGGUGACACAAUCUGAGCAGUGUUGCACAGCUUAACCAAACACAGCCAGGGAUCCCUCGGUCAGUUCCAGGAGAGUGGGAUGAGUAAAAUACAGAAAAAAGAGAGAGUGCGAAUGAAAGGGAGGGAACGGGGACCGUGAAAGAGCAAAGCACAAUGAAGGAAAGAACAGAGAGACAGAAAGAUACCAUUGAGAGAAAGAUGCCAUUGAGACAGAAAGAUGAUAUUGAGAUAGAAAGAUGCCAUUGAGAGAAAGAUGCCAUUGAGACAGAAAGAUGAUAUUGAGACAGAAAGAUGCCAUUGAGACAGAAAGAUGCCAUUGAGACAGAAAGAUGCCAUUGAGACAGAAAGAUGCCAUUGAAAGAUGCCAUUGAGACAGAAAGAUGAUAUUGAGAUAGAAAGAUGCCAUUGAGACAGAAAGAUGCCAUUGAGACAGAAAGAUGCCAUUGAGACAGAAAGAUGCCAUUGAGACAGAAAGAUGCCAUUGAGCCAGAAAGAUGCCAUUGAGAUAGAAAGAUGCCAUUGAAAGAUGCCAUUGAGACAGAAAGAUGCCAUUGAGACAGAAAGAUGCCAUUGAGACAGAAAGAUGCCAUUGAGACAGAAAGAUGCCAUUGAAAGAUGCCAUUGAGACAGAAAGAUGCCAUUGAGACAGAAAGAUGAUAUUGAAAGAUGCCACUGAGACAGAAAGAUGCCAUCGAGACAGAAAGAUGCCAUUGAGACAGAAAGAUGCCAUCGAGACAGAAAGAUGCCAUCGAGACAGAAAGAUGCCAUCGAGACAGAAAGAUGCCAUUAAGACAGAAAGAUGACAUUGAGACAGAAAGAUGCCACUGAGACAGAAAGAUGCCAUUGAGACAGAAAGAUGAUAUUGAGACAGAAAGAUGAUAUUGAAAUAGAAAGAUGCCAUUUCCAUGAUUGCAACAGACAGUUCAAAAUGGUGACUAUACAGUAUAAGACGUUAACCACUCUUGCCUCGUCUCUCUGUCUCUUUUCCCUGAGUCAAUGGGGCCAGACCAGGUGUGUUAUGUCAAGUAGGAAAUGUAUUGGACAGUGAAGUAUUUCCUGUACAUUCUCAAUAGUCAUAUUUGACCCCUUGCCUAUUUUAGCUGGCUUUCUCUGAGUAUGUUUUCUCAAUGUUGAAUGAAGAUACUGUAGUACAUAGUGAUAUGUUAACAAUGGUUUGAUGAGAGUUUGUUUAAAAUGAAAUGGAAUAAAUAUAAAUAUAAGUACAAGUCAAA
Long non-coding RNA from Salvelinus fontinalis (brook trout), 12205 nucleotides. RefSeq lists it as uncharacterized. NCBI's taxonomy places the organism in Eukaryota, Metazoa, Chordata, Actinopteri, Salmoniformes, Salmonidae. The transcript is spliced from 3 exons. The record is from RefSeq and is a predicted model, not a curated record.